ACUGUAUCAUAAAUAUAUAGUGAUGUGUGAUGCAUGCUGUAGUUGUGGUUAUAUAUACUUAUUAUAUCAUAUAUAGUGAUGCAUGAGCUGAGAGGUGGGGUUGGAAAUAAAAAGGGACUUAGCUACCAGCAGAGAGAGAAGUUGAUUGGGUGUUUUUUCUAAAGCUUUUUUUGCAUGUUGCAAUCUUGAAGCUAAAGCUGUACUGUAGCAUGCUCUUGUUACAAAAUUACAUCCAGUUGAUUUUUCAGUAAAGCAUGGGAAAGAAAGUGGAGGCAUGCAGGAACAAUCCAGAAGAGUAUAUAUAUCUUGUUUCCUUGGUGCGUGUCUCUCAGAUUCGUUAGGUUUAAGUUGUGUCCAACGUUAACGCGUGAGGCGUGUGACCGGCCGGAAUUGAUUCCGGUCACUUGCUAAGUGGCAGCUAAAGAGGAUGCCCUCUGUUUAAUUCCAUCGAUACCUAUAGCAAGCAAAAGGAAUUUAGGAACUGGACGGGACAAUAAUUGCCGUAUUGCAUCUCCAACUUUUUGCCUGGGAAUUCAGCAGGAGGCUACGUGUUUCACGAACCAAAGAAAAAAGGUCCGGAAUCAGAAUCAGCCCUUUUCGUUGGAUGUGGGCCCACCUAACCUGAUUUUAGUCUAAUUUUUAUCAUAGUCUAAUUUUUCUCCACUUUUUCUAUACUUCAGGUGCAUGAAUUUUAAGGUAAUUUCUGGCAACCCUCUUGUACCACCACCUAGUACAAGUAAUUUAUUACUUCUAUGAUUUGUUAUUUGUCUUUGUGUUACAACAUAUUAAUUUUUUUUCCUUGUCUUCCUAUAAAAAUAAAUCAAAUUGUUAAUUGUCUUUGUACCAAUACAAAUUAGAUUUUGUCGAGUUUGUGGUUUUGUCUAACGUGUUUUUUAUCCUGGUACCAAAAGUUGGAGAUUGCGCCUAUAGAAAUUACAGUAAACAAAAUCUGAAAAUUUAAUAUAAAACAUAUGCAAUAAAUGUCGCUUGAAAGGAAACUAAAACUCAGACACCUGAAUUUUAGCAAAUCCUAUUUUUCUCUUCAAACUCUAUCUAAAACCAAAUAUCUUGACCUCUCAACUCUCAAAAACUAUUUAAAUUGCCUCUUUACACCGAGUAGAGGUGGUUUUCAAGACACGGGUUCAUUCUUUUUAGAUAAAGAAGCUCCAAUAAAUACCUGAUAAGUUUUUGAAAUCAUGAAAAAAGUCUUUAAGCUUCUAAAAUUUUUUGGGACAAAUCCUAGAAAUAGAUUGGAACGACAAACGCAAAUAUAAUAUCUAGGGAUCGGAAAGUAUCUCUAAAUGCUUCCAAAAAUUAUAUUUACCACUAGGAAGAAGUGAUAAAUACUAGAAAAAUCUAGAAAACUUCCCAAACAUUUAUAAUCAAUGUCUAAACACAUUCUGAAAACUUCCCAUAAAGAGUAUGAGAUGCAACCAUAUGAAUGCAAGCCUUAAAUGAGUGUCGCAUCCUUGCUACUUUCACCUUUUUUUGUUGUUGUGUAAAGGUUUUAAAAUGCAUUAUACAUUAAUUAGAUUUUUAGGGAAUUUUCUAAAACAAAUUUUAAUUUUCAAAAGCUUCUAGAAAUAUUUUCAUGAACUCUAAAUAUUUUGUUUCAGUUUUUUGUCCCAAUAUAGCUCUAGGAUUUUUCUUACAAUUUUAUAAUCUUGAAGACAUUUUUGUGGUUUUAUUAAUAACUUAUUUGGUAUUUACCAAAUUUUUAUAACUAUAAAAACAUGAUAAAACAGCCUUGUGAACCGAUAACCCAACUCAGAUAAUUUAAAUGGUUUUGAUAGUUGAGAGGUAAGACUUCUGAGUUUCCGAAAGUUUUUAAGAUUCUCGUCACAUCAAAUCUUUGAACGUAUGCAUAGAGCAUUAAAUAUAGACAAAAACAAAAACUAAUUACACAGUUUGUCUAUAAUUUGUGAGACGAAUCUUUUGAGCCUAGUUAGUCCGUGAUUGGACAAUAAUUUUCAAAUACAAAUGAAAGUGCUACAUAGCCAAAGUCAAAAAUUUUCGUGAAUUAAACAAGGCCUAAGUGGUUGUUUGGAUCUCUAAAAUAUAAAUGUGUUUUAGCUAAAUGAGAUUUAAAGAGGUUUUUAGAUAAACCAGUUUUGAGUUGGUUAGUUAGUCGUGAGUCUAAUUAAAAAUGUGUUUGGAUGGUUCCUGCUACAAACGAACGCGAGUAUUAUGUUUGGUUUGACCGUAUUUUCUGGCGUUGGGUGCUUCAGCCUCAGCUCGGCAAGAUCAUGGAUUCCUGGUUAUCAGAAAAACAGUUUUACUAAAAACGAUGCGGAGCCGUUUUUAUUAAUACACAUUUUUUGAUUUCCGUGGAAAAUGAAUUCAUCUUAUACGAGAGUUGUUAGAAGAUCCAAGCACAGAUUUACAGAUAGUAGUUACAGUAAAGCUAGCUGUAGGGAAACAAAUCAUCAAGAAACGUCAAAAUCCAAAUACCUCUGAAAUUGGCUUAAGCUUAUCUACCAAAUUUACCAAUCAUUUAGCACUAUUUUUUUAUAAUAAAUCAGCGAAUAAUCAUCAUGACUUUUUAGCCGAACAAAGAGGACCCAUGAUAACCCAUAAAGUCUAUGAGUGAGGAACUGUGAAAGGCCCAUGGGCUGGAACUUGGCCAACACGUCUGUCUGUUUCCAUCCAUCAUCAUCAACGAACGAACUCCCUAACCCACUCCAAGAAGUAUUACGCGCCGCCGACUCGCUCUCCCAUAAGCCAUAAACGCCGCGCCUCACAUGCAAACACAGCAACCACCAAAACCCUAGCAAGCUCGUGCAAUCAUCUCCCAUUGACCGUUGCAAUAAGCUUUCCCUAGCUAUUAGCCCCGAGCAACGAUGAUGAUGGCAGCGCGCGCUCUUUUGUUGUCAUCCCGUCUCGCCGGCCUUUACGAGCAGGAGGCGGUGAACUGCGGCGGCCGCCGGGCGUUCAGCGCCGCGGCGACGGCGGUGGCGCGGAAAGAGCCUGUCGAAGCGGCCGGCAAAGCGAGGCCGGCGGCAGCGGCGGAUAAGGCGGCGGCAAAGAUGGAGGAGGAGUCCUUCUGGAUGAGGGACCCCAAGACGGGCUACUGGAUGCCGGAGAAGCACCUGUACGACGUCGACGCAGCCGACCUCCGGGCGCGGCUGCUCUUCUCCAAGAAAGAUUAAUUCAUUAGUUGACGAAAGAGUCCCCGGGAUGAUCCCACAGAGUUUAGAGUUGAGACGACAGAUUUGAGAUGCAAAAACUUUUAAAAUUUUAACAUUGUAGCACUUUUAUUUGUAUUUAGUAAACAAUGUCCAAUAAUAGACUAUAUAGACAAACUGUACAAUUAAUUAUUUUUUAUCUAUAUUUAAUAUUUCAUGCAUAUGUCGCAAGAUUCAAUGUGACAGUAAACUUUUGGAAUUUUGAAAGGAUCCAAACAGGCCCCUUCCUUUCAAUGCAUCAUGCCAUGCAUGCACGAUCAGUAUACAGUAUGGUUUUGUUGGUCGAUCUUGUAGCCUGUUCGUUGUACGCGCGCGAUCGAGUUGACGUGCAAAACUGCAAAAGAGAUUCGCUACCAGUACAUGUGCAUUGCUUAUGGAUUUUGUGUAGGCUGUGUGACGAACCGAGCGUCUGCAUUGGAUCUUCAACAUUAAGUGGUUUUUGGAUGUCUAAAAUUUUAAACCUGUUUUACCUAACAACAUGGUUUUAGGAGAACAGUUUUGAUUGGUUGGUUAUUAGGUAGCGCGAGUUCUAUUAAAAAUGUGCUUGGGUGUUUUUACUUAAAUUGGUUUCCAGCCAAAAGCGGGCCAAACAUAUUUUUAGUAAAACUCAUGCUAACGAACCAAUUCAAAACUAGUUUUCCUAAAAUCUUGUUUAAAACUCAUUUAGGGUGUGUUUAAUUCCCUAUGGAAUGCAAAAUAUAAAAUACCAAGUACUUUGAAAUGAUGAAAUGCAAAAUACUAAAUUUUUCAUGGGUGUUUUUAGUUUCAUCCAAAAUACCAAAAUUUUCAGGGUCCAAAAUACAUAAAGUUGCUCCUUUGGGUUUUUUUGGCUCUUGAAGCCAAAAUCCAGAAUGCAAAAUGACAACCAUUUUGCUAAAAAAAAAAGAUGGUGUUCAGUUCUAUUCUAUAAAAUGGUGAGCCAAAAACCCAAAAAAAUUUGGUCCAAACAGGGAAUAAACAGACCCUUAGCAAAAACAGGUUUAAAUUUUAGUAAUCCAAGUUUUGAAGAUUCUAGUUACUAAAAGUGUAGUGUAGUCAAUACAACUUGUAGUUGCUUAACACAAGUUCUAAAGAUUAUGGGUGCUAAACAAUGUUUUUGAGGCGCCACGUCGGACGCUUAGGCGACGCUAUAUACAUAUUAUAAGGCGUUGUAAUAUAGGAUUUUAUAUACUACUGCAGCGCAUACAUACCUCGCUUGCCAUGUUGUUGGCUACUAUCUAUAACUCUUAUAAAGCUAAACCCCACUAGAUGAAUUCUCUCUUCAUGCAAGGUGUCCACAUCAUUCCCACUAAAUAUUCUAUCUCUUCAUGCAAGGUGUCCACAUCGUUCUCCACUAAGUCCAUGUCAUCUCAUAUUAAUUACAAAAAAUGACCAUGUCAUCUAUAUCAUGUAAAAUACUUCAAAUCUUUAAUCUAUUAACAUAUAAGUCAUGUACAUACACUAUUUGCUUCAUCACCAAUUAAUUCCUCUAUAAUGUAACCAAAUAUUAGUUUUUGUUAUAUUAGCUUAGCAAUUUUUUACUAGAUCUAAUAUAAUAAAAUACAUGCAAGUCAAAUUUAUAUGACAUACAUAAUAGACUAAAUACCAUAUAGUAAUGCUAUGUAUAUAAUGAUUUAUUUUAAAAAAAAAUCCCUCACCAACUCGCGGGGAAUUCGCGUAGUAUAAAAGAAAGCAAGGGCAUUACCAAUAAGUAUCAUACUAAUUGUUGUGAAAUAACGUCUAGUCCCAAUAGGCAUCCAUUCAUUAAUGAUCUCAUCCGUCCGUAUGGAUCCGUAUGACGUCCGUAGGAGUAGUUAGGAUUAGUGUUAGAGAUUAGCGGUUAAUCAUGUCACCAAAAGGCAUGUCCUUCGGUGAGCAGUUAUGUCUCUUGGAGACAUCCCUUUACAUCUAUAUAGAUCAAUGAAAUACAACAGUAAUUCCAAAAAAAAUCAUUGUUCAUUUACAUUCACUUUCAUCACUAAUCAAAGCAAGAGCCUUAUGAUUUUUGUUUUGUAAGUAAAGUAGUAAAUAGUAAACUAAAGAAAGUAUCCCACUAUGAAAGAGGCAGACAUUAUACUAAUCAAAGAAAGAUCCUUAUGCUCUGUGACAACCCAUAAAAUAUAAAAAGUAGAUAUCAACAGUUCAUCUUAUAAUAUUCAGAGCAGAGUAUGUACAAACACACACCAUGAGAAAAAGCAGAGCAGAGUGCAAAAUAAAUAUUCAGAGCAAUGAAGGAGGCAGGGAUAGGCAUGCAACAUGAACAUACAAUAUUCAGAGCACGAGACAUACAAUUUUCAUAUCAAAAGCAAAGCACGAGGCAUACUAUAUUCAGAGCAAAAACAGAGCACAAAGAGCAGAUAAACACUACAAGAGUACAUGCCUGCGAGUUAGCCUAUGGAAGAUCAGAGACAGAGAGGAGGCAGGGGACAUACUAGGCAGAGGCGCAGAAGCGAGACGGGCGAGCAACUGUGGACGGGCGGACGGCCAAUGGAGGCAGAGACUCGAGGCGGACAAGCAGGUGCAGACUUUGAAGACUCGAGGCGGACGAGCAGACUGGAGGCCUGCGGACUUUGAAGUCUCAAGGUGGACGAGCAGACCAGAGGCCAAGCAGAGAUGCAGGGCUAGCUCUGGCUCCGCGGCAGGGGUAACCAACCGGUGGACGAGCAGAGGAGCAGCGAAGCGGACACCUACCGACUGCCGCCUUCUCUCUUCCAGCUGGCCCUCUCUCUUCCUCUCCCCUCGCCCUCACUCGCGACCGUGGUAAAGGCCUCGCGCGGUAAAUUUCCCGCGCGAAGGGCCUAUCUACUUGUCGUGCCAUCGCAGUUCCCGUGCCCUCAAUUUUUGUCACGAACGUGCAGUAGAUUUCCCGUGCGGCCAUAGUCUUUUGGCGCCCUUCCCUGCGAACUGGCAUCCGGCGUCCAUUACGGGCUGGAGGCGUCCACCCGAUGCCAAUCUACUCCUUGUCGACGCCUAACUCGAUUAGGCGGACGCCAUACCAGUGCAGGUCAUGGUGCCCCUGACGCCCAAGCCCUCUACAACGCCUUGUCACCUAGGCGACGACUAGGGAAAGCCUCAAAAACAAUGGUGCUAAGUGUAUUUUGAAAGCAUCAGGAUUUAGGAUUUAUGUAAGACAAAUCUAAAAACCACUUAUGACAUGCUCAUCUAGCCUCACAUGUAAGACCAUGUCAUCGUACAGUCAAGAUGACACACGAAUGGUUUAGUAUAAUUUAUGAUGGUUUGUACUCCACGUAAUAUAAUUAGCAAGUUUAGAGUGCCAAAAAUAAAUUUUGAUGAAUGGUUUAGUAUAAAUUUUUAUGAUUUAGACUGCACGUAAUAUAGUUAGCAAAUUUCUGGUGCCAGAAAUACAUUUCGGAAGUAUCCAAGAUCUAUAAAAAAAUAGUAGACAAGUUCAAGGACCACAAUUAAAUUUACUCAAAAGAAUUAUACCAUAGCAAAACACAUCUCUUUUGAGGUUAUUACAGACAAAUUGUUUUCUGCAACACAGGAAUUUGUUAGCGCGCCUAGAUUCAGGUUCCUUUAGAACGCAGGGAUUUUAUAGGAAUCCUACAAGGAGCACCUAGAUUAGGUACCUUUGGAACACAAGAAUUUUAUAGAAAUUAUACAAACCGUACAGGAAUCAGGUCAUUUUAAACAAAAAGCACAAGAAAUAGGGAGGAAAUCCUGCAUUCCAAUUUCCAAAGGGGGGGCCUUCAACUGUUGCAGGAACACAUACAAGUAAUCAAAUAACAAGAUUUGGACAUGAGUUGCCGGUGUAUCAACUUUAAAACUUCUGGAUCAUAUUCAAUAAUACAGGUCAACACUACAAUCUGCACAUCCAUAGCCACUAUUCUCUACCCACACCAUCACCCCUAAGAAUUGGGGGGUAACAGGUGAAAAAUAACAUAAGCUAAUUGACAUAUUUCAUGGUGCAGAUGCUGUAUAUUCUAUGAGUCAUUGCCUACUUGUACAGGCAAUGGUGACUUCGCAUGGCUACAGUGGGGACAAAUGUAUUCCAGCCCGCCUGUCUUUGAGUAGUCCUGUUGUCACAGCAGCCACGUCAAUUUGUAACCUAAUUUUCUAGAAUUCCUCAAAGGAAAACAAAAUGGAUGCUUUGGGAUCAGCAAGAGUCUACCUUGAAAUUGCCUAGCCCUUGCCGUCUAUCACAGCCAAGGUGGGCCCAUUCUCCACAUACUCCACAGUUCACCCAAUCACCCAGAUCACUACUGUAAAAACAUAAAGUAAUAUGUUAGAAUCUACAGAAAUGAAAAAAAGAGAGACGUCAGAUAUACUAGAAUGAAAUCAGAUCCUCAAACCUGUGGCAGAUCAAGCAACAUUCCACUUCAAUAUCGUCAUGUGCAAGUUCAUAUUCCAGCAAGUAUGUCUCAUAAUGCCUUUUUAGGGUGUUCCCAACACCCUGAAUGUAAAAGAAUGCAUGAUUAGAGUUUUAGUAUAAUGUCAAAUUAACCAGACAGCCAGAUUACAUGUUCAUAAUAAUAACUGAGUAAACAAUUGGCAUUGUGUACUCCAAAUAGCCGUAGUGCAAAAAACUAUUUUAAAAUACAUUUUCUAUAUGCUAAUAAAUAACAGGGCAAAUCUGUGUGUUAACAUCAGAACUACAAAAAUAUAAUAUAAUAGCAUAGAAAAUAGCAAAUUUAAAAUCUUCCCGCUUUCUCAGUACAAUAGCAAGUAAAUUAAACAAAAACAAGCAUACCGUCAUUUUGUUUGUAACUGUAUGGUUGCGCAUCUUUGAAAAGACUUGACCUUUCCAAUUUAUGCCAUUGCCUACAUGAAAGCCACCUCGGUAUACCACCUGGAUGAUGACAAUUCAGAAAAUUUCUCAGCCAAAACAUUUCAGUGUCACCAGUUUUUCUUUAAAUGGCAAUAUUUUCUGGGUGAUAACAGUACCUCAAAGAUUUUUCACAUUGAUGCUCUUUUUUUUUCUAGAGAUGUGAUACUUUUUUUCUUUCAAUGGGAGUGGGAUUAUCCCAAAGCAAUAUUAAAAAAUUGGCAUUCAAACUGGUACAUGAGAACAGCAGUGUGCAACUACCUCUUUGUAUAAAUUAUAUAAAUCAAGACGCUUUGAAUUUAACACUGCAUCAGGAAAUUCUGCCGGUCCUCCCUGAGGUACAAGUCGGUCAUGGCCCCUUUGAAGUAGGAACUGCAUGACAUCUUUCAAGAAGUCUUCCUGCAAAAGAUAGCACAAAAUGAGGGGAUAUUUACUAGGAGGAUGUUUCAGCACAAAAGGAAACAAAAGGAUGGUCCAGAAGUGUACUUCAGAGCAAAUGUUGAUAGGCAACCGAUUGCACUCAUGCUUCUUCAUUGGCAGAGGAUUCAAUGGGAUUGAUGGCUGAACACGUGAUGAGGAUGAUGGUGACCCGGAUGAUGAUUUUCUUUGAGUCACUUUGAUAACAGGUACUGUAUUGUCCUUUACAGGAGGGGCUGGUAAGCUAGGCUUAACUGGACUAGCAUCAUGGAUGGACUGAGCAAACCCCAUAAAGGGAUGCAUUUGUUGCUUGCGAGAGUGGGGAAUGGGUCUCAUUGUUGCAGGCUUUAACCUUGGUUUCAAUGAUGAUAGGGACAUCUUAUUAUCCCCUCCAACUCCUUUGGCACCAAAUGACAUCUGUUUUGACUCGAUGCUUCCAGUAGUUCUAUCCUUAGUAAGGGAUGCUGACCAGCUUGAUAGAUGGGCAUAUGAGACAUUUUGAAUAGCUUUAUCUUUGCACUGGUUAGAGCAAAAGAAAAGCAGCCGAUCAGCAUCCUGCCUAUCAAAUGAGGACACUGGUGUACCAUUUACCCAAGCAAUUCCAAGUGCAACCAAGCUUCUGUAACAGAUUUCUGGCGCAAGCUGUUUCAAGACCUAGGCAAUUAAACAUAAUCUUCAUUAAUAGAUGAAAUAGGAUCUGUUAAAAUAUAGUUAUGGAAGGAAAUUAUAAUCGAAUCAACACCAUGGGAAGAGAAAAUAAAGAACACAAACUUGAAAACUCAAUAAAUUCCCUAAAACAGAAAUCGACUCAAAACAGCAGCGCACAUUCUACAGUUUGAAAUUUUGAACUCCAGUAUGAGAUACUUUUCUAAGCAAGCAGCAACACUAGGCCUGGAGUACUAAAUAAAGCUCAGGUAUACAAAAACUAACAGCUACUCCCUCUGGUCCAGGCAUCUUCUAACAUGGCAUGUCUCCUAAAUUACACUUUGACCAUUCGUUUAUUUUAUAUUAUACUGCUUAUUAUGAUUAUAAGCAUAUGAUUAUUGGAUGGUACGUUUGAUUACAAAUCUAAUCUAAUAGUAUCAAGUUUGUACUACAAUAGUUAAAAAGUUGUUAGCCAAAUUAUUGGUCAAAGAUUAGAAAGUUAGACUCUUGACCUACGCAAAAUGCCUUAUAAACUGGACUGGGGGAAUAUAAAAUAAAAUAGGGUGCCAAGAUCAUUGAUGUCUUAUCAUUUCGUUAGAGCAUGAACAAUGGGGGUACUAGAGGAGACGCUUGCAAGAGUGGGGGUUUACCCUAUGUCAUUUCACCCAGGUGCUUAUAAACGGACAAAUGUUUAAGUUUGCUCAUGGUGCUUAAGUGUACUACUUCUGCCCUGAAAUACAAGGGCAAGAUUUGUCCCAGGUCAAACUAUUUUAGGCUUGACAAAGUGUAUAGAAAACAGUAUUAACAUCUACCACAUCAAAGAGGUAAGUUAUGAAAAUAUAUUUCAUAAUGUGAUGACCAUUGAUAUCGUAAAUAUUGUUAUUUUUUUCUAUGAAGAUGGUCAAAACUAGGAUAGCUCGAUUUAGGAUCCAGCUCCCCAAAAAAUAACAUUCGACUUGCAUGACAUCUAAAACUUUUAUUCUUCAAGGCAAUAGCAAUUUAGGGUAACAUAUUAAGAGGUGCAAUGCUAGGUUUUCAAAAACCUUCAAUGGGAAUGAGUGGACUUAGCACUCUUUGGCAGGAGGGAUGGGAUGUAGCAAACUCAAAAUCUCUUGUAGUUCAACACGAAGGGAAUACUAACAAGGUACUUAAGUUUAUUUAAACACCCAUUUGCAUUGGAGGAAUUAACAUUAACUUUUAUUCGGUGCUCAUUGAUGUAGUGAUAUUCUAUCCCGUUAAGCACUCAUGUUUAAUCAUCUUGCAUGGUACAUGCCCUAGAUGCUUUCACAACAUAAUUUUAAACAUAGAGAGUGAAAUGUAUAACUAAAAGGGCAAAACAAAAAAGAAAGUUAAAUACAAAGGUAUGCAUUAAAUGAUAGCUGAAGUAAAACCAGAAAACUUCAUUAAAACUUUGAAGAAGAAAAAAAACCUGUGCUGCCCAUUUAGGCAGGGUUAUCCAGACUUCAAAAGUAGAAGCUCCACAAGCCACACACAUGGAAGGCAAAGGUUCAUAUGAUGGCUUGUUAUCCUCAGUAUUCGAUAGAGCACGAACUAACUGCCUCUUCUCAAUAAUUUCAUUCUUGAUACGGCUCUCUAGAAGCUGCAUAUGUUGUGAAGCAACAUGAGUUUUUUUUUACAUCAAAAUAUGGGCUAGGAGAUGCUCCAUCGUUGUAGAAAUUGAUACCUUAUCAUCAAAACAAGUUUGGGCACUGGCAGAAACAAGAAAUGACACGUGUGCAGAACUGCAAGUUGAGAUAUCGCAGCGCAUUGUAACAACUCCAUGUGGAAGAUUUUCAGCUUGAAGAGGUGGAGGAGCACUAGAAAGAGAAACAAUGUGGAGCUUCAACUCUGAACAAAAUGAACAUUUCUAACAAAAAGAGUAUUUUAUAGUUUGGUAGUAUAUACCAAAUAAUCAAAAAAAAUUAAAAAAAAAAACUCUACCAGUAUCAUUUUAAAAGAAUUUAACUUCAUUUUCCAUUUGGUUCACAAAUCAUAGGCAAUACAAAUCAAGAUACAUUGGUUCCUUUUAUAUGCCUUCAGGUUUGUGCUUAAAAACAUGAUGAGAGCCAAGAAUACAAUGCAAACAAACAUUCGGGGAUAACAAAAUAUUAAUAUAAAUACUAAAGCAAAAGGCCAAGACUACAUUAUAAACAUGAUCCAUUCUCAAGUUAUAAAAUGUUUGAUGCAUGCAUCAUAAUUUAUGAGAUAUGUGGCUUAAUAUGUAAUGAGAUACCUGGAUCGGCUCUGAAGUUUACUCGCACGAAUCUGAGGAAAGUAAAAAAAAAUCAAUCAUCAAGCAGGUCCUAGCAAAUAUGAUGAAACACAAAAUAGAAUACUAGAACUUUAUAAAAAUUAAAGGAUAUUUAUUGAACAAAUCUGACACUGAAGACACCACUAUCUAAUACAUCAAAACAAUGCUUUUGUUGCUUAUAGCAAACCAAAAGCAAGAGUCAGACUCAAACACUAGUACUAACUUAUGCAUCCGUUUGCUAUACAUCAUAUUUUACUGGGAUUCACAAUAAAAGUGCAAGCCAAUAGUUGUAACUCGUAAGCAGCUAGUGGGCAGUCACCCCCCACUUGUCAUGUGACUAUGAGAGCAAUCCAUUCCACCAGGGCACCGUGGCUGCAUAGGAUCAACCGGCACAUUUCCUUUCUUGUUUUAGUUACUAUUUUUAAGUUUCUUACUUUGGGAGACGAGGUACCUCUAAUCUAUAUGAAACAAAAGCAGGUAAUGUGCCCUGAAAUGACUUUUAGUAAUAAUUUCAAUAUAUGAAUAUUCUGAUUUACAAUGAUGUGAUAACUAUAUGCUGCAUACAAAUCAGCAUGCCUAGUUCUAACAUAGCUACCAUUCGUUCCCAUAGCUCCUACGGUAAUACUAAAAGUUUGCGAUAUCAUGUAAAGAUUAACCAUCUAUCCAUAAUCUCAAUACUUCUAGAAUGUGCUCCUGAUUACUACAACGAUGACCACAAACCUCAAUAUUCAACAGCGCAGUCAAACCAUCUUCUAGUGCGCCCAACAAACAUGCAUCCUGAAAUUGAUACAGUUUGCAAUCAUUGAUUGGAAACAAGGUAAACAUCUAGUGAUGAGAGAAAAACGAGGUAUAACCCUAAGCUUACCAGGGUGCAUGGUGCUCCACAGACAAGAAAUUUCAUGUUCACAUCUUCAUCAUAGAUUCUUAUAGGUGGAAAACCUUCAGAGCAGCCUUCUUCCUUGUUCACUUCAUUCCCAGCAGGGAUGACAUUUAUUUUUGGGGCAUCCCCUAGUAGGCAGGGGCCAAGCUUAACACUUUGCACAUAAUUAUUUCUUACACAGUAUAGUCGAAAGGAGGCAUGUGCAAGUUGAAAUGCAUCCCAUGUAUGGCUGCAGGAACUAUAACCAGGAAUGAAACUGUUAGGUGUGAAACAAAAUAAAAUGGCACUGAUCAAUAAUACUUUAUGAUGCAAUACCUCUCAAUGACUGACAUUAACGCAUGACGAAAAUGAGAUGCUGUAUAAGACGAAAAUGAAUUCCUCCAAUAUACCACAUAUGGUAUCCCCUGAGUGAAAGAAUGCCGACAUCACAUAUUCCACAAUUAGCACCAAAAAGUCCAAAAAAAUAAUAGCCACUUUGUUUUAGGGAAAAAUAGCUUAUUAACACUAUAAAUUAUCUGAAGCAUAAAUGGUGAUAUCUAAAUACUACCAAAAAAUUAUAAACAUUCAAACAAUCAGUACCACCUAUAUUUAUUGAAAUGAGAUACUCUCUCCGUGCCAAAUUGUAGCACCUUUUGGCUUUUCUAGAUACAUUACUUUUACUAUGUAUCUAGACAUAGUGUAUAUCUAAGUGCUAACAAAAACUAUGUAUCUAAAAAGCCAAACUGUCUUACAAUUUGAAAUGGAGGGAGUAACAUACUAUAAACAUAAGGGACAUGACUUCUGCAAAAUCUAGAAACAAAAUAAGCGAAAAGGAGGGAAGAGUGUGCACUAACUCCAGAGUAACUCUUGCAAAUGUACAACAACCAAUUCCUUAAAAAGAGAUAGACACAAUUAUUGAAAAAAGUACCUUUGAAUGAAGUGACUGCGCAAGCUUUUCGCCAAUGGGAACCUCCAAAUAAACCUGCAUUAACAUUUAACAUGUUAAUAACUAUAUUGCAAAAAAAGGAACAAAACCACACUAUAGUAUUAAAUUAUAAAUUAGAUUAAAUGCUCCCGCCAACCAGCUUUGUUAGUUGUAUAAGCAAAGAAAUCCAAUAUUCAUCAGCAUAUAUGGACAUGGGCACCGCUUUGGUGCUUUUUCUCUGUUUGAACAUGGGCAUCAGUUUCGUACUGCAUGCAGGAAUUGCUCCCAAAGUUAAUACACUGUCAUUGUUCUCUUGUUUAUUUAAAGCAUGUGUGCAACAUGUGCUAACGGCAGGCAGACACUAACAGAAACACAGCAUCCUCGCCAUUCUCUCACUUAUUUAGAUAAGACGCUUUUACUCCGCCAGAUUAAUGCAUUGCGGGGAGGACACUUCUCUAUUUGGUCUCUGUGUGCAGAGAGUUUAUACGUCGAUCAUAUUUAGAUGGAGGGAGCAACAGACAUAUACAUGAUCUCGAUUAUAUUUUGGAUGGAGCUUGCAAUAGCAAGACACAUACAGGAUUAUAGAAGAUACUUAACAAUAAGAUAGAUGCUACACGAAGCAUCCAAUCAACAUGCAACAAGAUCACAUACCCAUUAAUUUAGCCACAUCAAUUAAGUCAAUAAUGCAAAGUAAAACUCAGCAGUUUAGGUCACAAUACCAAACAAGAGCAUUAUCAGAAGUUCAGAACAGACCAGUAAAUGUAACUUUUAAAAAACCACAGUUAUAGCCAGAGCUAAGGUAAUAAUUCCCUGGAAGUCACAAGAUCAUGUUCCUCCCUCUCUCUUCAGAUGAACUCCUAGUUCUUGACUGGUGCAACACAGUUAUAGUGUAGUACUGAUUGUCAUGCUGGGCUCCCUUUUUCAAGGCUCAAAUAUGAAAUUGUAAAUUGAUGUGCACUUUUGCACCUCAUGUCCACCAGUCAAGUAAGAACAGAUGAUAACACUAAAUUAUAGCAACAAAUACAUGCUAUUUAUCUAUUCAAGAAAAGCUUGGAGCUUACCAUGGUCGGAAAUGGUGGGGUGAUGAGUGAAACAAACAUCUGCGGGUCAGAUAAAUCGGUAUCGCCCCAGACAAGUGUCCCAAUCUCCUUCUCAUUCUCUUGCUGCUGCCCUUGAAGAUACAAGAAGACAGGAUGCACCGCCUGCUGUGCCUCUCUAAAUUGCUCCAAAGUGGGAUUGAUUAGUGUGUGCACCUGCAUCCCCAAAGUCCAGUUUUAGUUUGAACUUAUAACUCAAAUCAAAAAAAAAACAUCUGCCUCUACCACACCACACAGCAAUAAGAACUGACCUCCAAUCUCCCAGACGAAGCGAGCUCCGGGAAGGGGUAUGACAUCCGCACUCGCUUUGUGUCUGGUGCCAGGGGAGCUGGCGUCUGCCGCUUCUCGGCAAUCUCCCCACAAAGAACAGCUAGGAGUGUGCAGUUUCGCCCGGUGUUCUGGACUUGAGGCAUGGCUGCAGAGACAAACUAACUGCCGGGCCUCAACUCAAGUCAACACUGAACCUGCAACAGGAAAAUUGGAAAACGGGUAAACAAACACCGCAAAAUCAAAGGAAAACCCACCACCAAAACGAAUCAAUCCACACACCAGAUGAGCAAAUCGAAGCCCAGGGCGGCGUAAGGACGCCGCCGAUGGCGUAACCGGAAGCAGGUAGCUUCGAUUUAUGGGGUAGGAAGAGCAAAGCGUGGGGAGGACGGAACCCUAAUCUAGCCGCGGCAACAAUAACACGAUUUCCCAACCAGAAUAGAAGGCAAGUGCGGUGGCGGAUCUGUGAAUCGAGCACGACACGAGCCUCCCGUCCCAAUCCAAUCCAAUCAAAUAAACAUUUCACCGAUUGUCGAAAAAAAUUAUAACAAAUCAGUAAAACGGCACCAGAUCCUCCCAGUUCCCAGUUUCGAUCCUCGCAUCUCGCAGGGGUUUAACACCAAGCAGGUAGGGAUCCAAAGGAAGACGAAUCCAAUCCGAUCAAAUAAACAUUUCAAGGAUUGUCGAAAAAAAUUAUAAAUCAGUAAAACGGCACCAGAUCCUCCCAGUUCCCAGUUUCGAUCCUCGCAUCUCGCAGGGGUUUAACACCGAGCAGGUAGGGAUCCAAAGGAAGACGAACCUGGGGAGAACGUGUGCUGACUGAUGAGGGGGGCAGAGCAGAGGGCGAGAUGAAACGCUCGGAUUUGGGAUAUCGCCUCGCCUUGUAGGCCUUGUAUAGGUGGUGCGCGUAGGUGCGGAAUCUUCUGGCCGAUCCGCUUACUCCCCCGUUCCUGUGUGCGGGCUCGGCAACGAGGAUUUCAUGACGAUUCAUUAUUCCUGUGGAUUGAAGAGGGAUAGAAAAAAACAAGGGGCGCGGAUUAAUUACCUUCUGGAUUUGGAAUCGGGAAUGCGAGGAAGAGAAUGAAAAGGAUUUUGUUUCGAUCUACGAAGAGAUGGAUGAUACCUGCUGCGGCUGAGGCUGCGGAUGCCGCUGCACGAGGCCACGAUCCGACGCCGCUCUGGUGUCGUUGGCGCGGUGGAUUUUCCACGCGCUUCGCCCAAUCGAAAGUCGAAACUGCCUGUUUGCUUGCUCGUUGCUUUGGCACCGCAUUCGCGGCCUGGGAUGGGACUCAUGCGAGCGAGCGAGCGUCAGAGCGUGCCGUGGCAGCGUCGCGCUGUGGUUUCUGGGUGCUGUUCGCGAGAUAUGUGCGCCCAGCAGCUCCUCGCUCUGGCGUGUUCUUCAUCCUCUCGGGCUUUUUUUUUUCCCUUUUUUUAUGAGAGAAGUGACAUCAUAAAUAAUCCAAUUUCUCGAUUACAGAAAUAUAGGACAAAAUAUACCCACUGUUCGUUUUAGUCCAAAACAAGGAAUUGAGAAGGGUUUCCUAGUGAAAGUCCUCCUCAAUCAACUCCGACACUUCUCCUAUCUUAUGGUUCGGGACUUGUUUAGUUUAAAAGUUUUCGAGACUGUAGUACUUUUAUUUUUAUUUAAAAAAUAUUGUUCAAUUAUAGAGUAGUUAGGCUUAAAAGAUUCAUCUCGUGAUUUAUAGGUAAACUGUGCAAUUAGUUUUUAUUUUCAUCUAUAUUUAGUGCUCCAUGCAUGUGUCGCAAGAUCCAAUGUGACGGGGAAUCUUGAAAAGUUUUUGGUUUUUAGGAUGUAUGGUAGCAUAAUUUUUAUUCGGAGUCUUUAAGCAUUCAAACUUAUAAAUUGGUGUUGCAAACUGAUGAACAUGCCUCGCUAUCCUAUGAGUUAUUCUAUUGACCUAUCAUGGAAUCUUACAAAACUCAAAAUCUUAUUUCUCAAGAGUAUCCCUAAGUAAUUGACAAUCCGAAAACAUGAAAUCACACCAAACAAGUUUCAUACAUUUUUGUGUAGUAAUAUAUGGUCAUGGGUCAUUAGUUAUAAUGUUAUGUCAUCAUUUCAUGUUGUUGUGGCGAAGUAAUAAGGAAGGAAUGUAAGAGAUUGGUUUUAUAUAAGUGAAGCUAGGUAUAUGAUGUCUCUAGGAUUAUGAAACAUAUUGAAACAGACAUUGGUUUCAUUCCAUCCUACUUUUCGCCAAAUUCUAUGUGUCAAACUUAAAUGUUGUACUAAAAACAACCAGAUAAAACAAUGCAUGGGAAGGAGUUGUUUUAUUCAUCAACUCGAAAGCACUCUAGAUGGCAAGGCAUUCUUAGAAACAAUAAAAUAAAACAUUCGGUUUGUUUCUCAAGAAACAUAUGGGCAAUAAAUUACUCUGGAAUUAACAAGAGUAUUACCCCACCUAACUCUGAUGAUAAUCAAUUAAAUACUCUUUUGCACAUGUAGAGUAUUGUCUAGAAACACUAAUAUGAAACUCUCUCCUAUGAUUGGCCUUAGAGCAACUUCAACCGUUUGGCAAAAUUCGUUUCCCAAAUUUUAUUGUUUGUCAACUUCAAAAAUAAUAUGGGGAGGAAAAAAUAUCUCAUAUCCAACGGUUUGGCAAAUUUUAUUUCCAAAAACUCAAAAAUCUGCUAACAAAAUGAAAAGCCUUGCUAAGCGAACGAAGAGCUCCGCUAAGCAUGAGGAGAAAGACUGAUGCCAAGCAUAGAGCCCGCGCGCAUAUUUGUGCGCUAGAUAGAGAGAUAUGACAAGUUAGAAAAGAUGGAGAAUUGAGAUGUUAAACUGUUGGAGAGAGUCUUUCCUCAUUUUGUUAAAAAAAUUAUGGAUAGGAAGUCAUUUGUCAAACUGUUGGAGAUGCUCUUAGUGUUUGAUUUAACGUUUCUUAGGAGUCCUUAUUCUUCUUUUUCUUGCCAACUAGACAUCUUUACUAUAUGCACUAUGUCUACAAUUUGAAGACACUAGAUGAUUCCCCAUGUGUUAUUGUGAAAAUUAGAGACAUAGAUUUUUUUUAUAAGAAUGAGAUGAAUAAAGCAAUCAUUAAAGUGGUUGGGUAUCUAAUUAGGAGACUAGAAUAUCCAAAAAAAUAUUAGAGGUUGAGUUACAAGUUGCUUGAAUCGAGAGAAAAUUAAGGUGUAUAUUUUGAUAAUACGACAUGAGAUAUACCAAAUGCAAGUACUUAUUAGUCUAGCAUGGGCUCGUUUGGCUCCCGCCACAUGCCAUCUUUAUGCAUGUCUGGUUGUGCCAUAGAUGUAGCGAACAAAAUGGGCGCCAGACAUUUGGUGAGAGUUGAGGUGAGUUUACAUGGUAGCAACCAAACGCACAUUCAACAUGCCACAAUUUAAUUGUGGUGUGGUAUGAGCCAAACACACAAACAAAUAUGGUUAUAUAGUAGUAAUUUUAUUAUAUGAGUUAUUUAUUAUUAAAGCUUUAUUUGCAAAUAAACAAGUUGAUUUUAAUUAAUUUGGUGAAGAGGUGAAGAGGGUAGUGUCAACCUUCCACAUCUUGAAACCCUUUGAGAGGAGAAAAUAUCUCAACCUCUCAUAUCAUGCUUAGCACUUACCGCAGUGUUUUGCAAAACCAUUUUCACUUGCUACUCACUAUGUCACUAAGCAUAAUGCGUAUGCAAAUGAAACUCACACUUAGUGGAACCAAAUAAAUGUUGCAACUAAAGAUUUUCUCUUUUUAUAUAGUACGACUAUCUAUCUUAAAUCCAACUUGUUUGGCCAAAUAUAUCAACUCUCAUCUUUCAUUAGACUUUAUAGGCCUUUCAACCAAACAUAUCAACUCCCAACUUUUCUGGCCUUACGAAUUUUAUCAAAUUUCUAGCCAACUUCAAGGCAACACUUUUUGCCAAGCAAGUUAUGAGGGCUCCAACCAUGGCUUAAUUCGACAGUUGACAUCGGUUCUUGAUAACGAACCUGAGCUCCAUGAUGGUGAGACACUCACCCUCCAUGACCACUGUGGCGCUCUUGUUGACACAUGGGUUUCUUGCAGGGGCAUCAGGUCUCUAACGCAUAGGAAAAAGGCACCAUGCAAGCUAAAAUUAUGGACCACAAGCGACUCAUUGGUCACCUUUUAGAACAUGUUCAGCAAUACUUGAGCUUUAAAACCAAAAUUGAGGGUCAUAGCUCCAAUAGACCCUACUAGAGAUCUAAAAAAUAAGAGGCUCAAAUCUCUCCUCAACCCUCAUCCAUGGAGGCUCUAGAGGAGCACAUACUCACUCGAACCUUUCUAUGUUGGUCACUCAUGCCCCUUCGGAUCUACCCUCGUGUCACUUCUUGACAUCACUCCUUGGUCUGACGAUCCUUCUCAGCGGCACCCCUGCACGGCCUCCUCCCUAGCGCCCUCCCUGGCUCGGCAACUCCUCCCUGGCUCAACCUCACACGAUGGCACAAUCGCACCCACCCAUCGCCACCACCAGAUCCGACCUCCUUCGUCCUAGGCACGCCCCGCCCAUGGUACUAAAUAGUGGUUGUAACAACCAUAAUAGUCAUAGCGGCCUCAAAGCACUACCGCUAUGAUGUAGUAGUCUAGGUUUUGCAAGUUGGAACUUAGCGACUGCUAUUUGAGUUAGCGAUCUGCUAUAGCAGUUCACAAUUCUUUGUAGUGGUCGCAAUGGCAUGGAGUGGUACACAAAAAAUAAAUAAUUCUAGUGCACUUAAGAUACACAUAUGGUUUAAGUGACCAUAUAAGUAUGUGAGACAUCAAUUCUUUAGGUACAAUUAAUUGACUAUUUAUAACCAUUAUUCACGAUAUAUAUGCUUAAAUUUACAUUUGCCGCUAUUGGAACUUAGUGUCUGCAAUAGCGCCCGCUAUCCGCUAUCUUGAUAUCAAUCUGCUACCAACCCGCUAUGCUAUUUGUCUCACUAAAGAUCAGAUGUAAGAAAGAACAAAGCAUGUUGAUGUGAGAUGUCAUUUUAUUUGAGGUGUCAUUGUUGAAGGUGAUGUUAAGGUAUGCAAGGUAAAUGCCCACGAUAAUCCCGUUGAUAUGUUGACAAAGCCUGUUCUUGAAGCUAAUAAGUUUGAGCUAUGCUCAGGCUUAGUUGGUAUUAUAUUAUAACUUAAGUCCUAGUGACUUUUAGUGUAGAUGAUUUUUUUUAUUAUUGAAGUAAGUUAAUUGAUGAUACUUUAUUUUGCUACAAGAUAUAAAUUUUCUCAAGGUGAAUUUUAUUGGAGCAUGAUCCAAAUUCUAAUGCGAGUUUUGCAUGGACGUAUGAAGGGCCCAUAGCUUGGGGUAUGUUAAUUAGAAUAUUUGUUUUUGUAUUGAACUUUUGUUCGUCUGUCCUAUAUCUAUAUCUUUGUAAGCUACGUGGGAAGAGUUGACUCAUUUGUAUCCCCUAUGUACUGUACUCUCAUCGUAUAGUGGAGAUUACUGUUUUAGCGCAUGUGGUUUUUUUACAAGGAUUUUUCAUGUAAAUUUUUGUGUCCUGUGCUCGAUCUUUAUUUACAUUAUUUGCUAACAACAUGCUUACUUAGUCCUUUGCAUCUACAACAGAGAAGAUGAUUGGUAAAAAAUAUACUUUGUAGUUCUAACACUUUGAGUCUGUCCUACUAAAUUAUUUGAUGUAUUUGAAAUGAGAUCGAUGUUAGUGUAUCUAACUCUAUUUCUAUGUAUCGUUGUUUUUUAUGAAUCUUAAACAUAUUAGUAUUCUUUUCGUAUAGUAUUUAGAAGUCGUUUUUAUAAGGUUUUGGUCAAACAUUGAGAAUAUAAAUUAUCAAUAACUUUUAAAUUGUUGAGUUUGCAAAUGUGAAAAUUAUAUGAAUAGAUUUGUUUUAAAUAGUUUCAUUAAAGUAUAUAUAUCAUUUUUUAUAAAUACUUAUAAAAAUAAGAGGUUAAAGUUGUGUUUUGAAGAUCAUAUCACUAUCCUAUUCUAAACGACUUCUAAAUCCUAUACGGAGGGAGUAUCUAUUCUUUUCUAUAUAUAUAUAUAUAUAUAUAUAUAUAUAUAUAUAUAUUAUCUUUUUGACGUUUAUUGAUUUGUACUACCGAAAUGUCACCAUGGCGUUAACAUGUAUAACAUACUCCCAUUAUACUAUAAGUCAUUCUAAGAAUCUUUGAGGGUCAAAGCAUCUCAAGUUUGAUCAAAUUUAUGUAAUAAUAUAAUAACAUUUAUGAUUCUAACUAAGUAUUCUUAGUUUCUUUAUUAAGUAUAUUUUCAUAGUAUAUCUACUUGAUGUCAUAAAUCUUUUUAUUUUUUUCCAUAAUUUUAGUCAAACUUGAAAUGCUUGUACUCUCAAAGAUUCUUGAAAUGACUUAUAGUUUAGCAUGCAGGGAGUACCAAUAAAAUCUAUAUCUCUUAUAUAGAUAAACCUCACUAGCUAAUUCUUUUGACAUGCAAAGCAUCCACAUCAUCAUCCACUAGAGCAUCCCACUAACUAAUUCUCUUGCCAUGCAAAGCGUCCACAUCAACAUCCACUAAAUCAUCCCACUAAUACAUUACCCCGCCAUGCAAAGUGUUCACAUCAUUAUCCACUAAUAAAUCGAACUAACACAUAUCAUUUUAUCAUGUAUCUAUGUUAUUCACGUUAGCAAACUACAUUAUUUUGUAACAUAUAUUUAGUUUUCUAUGCUAGAAUACUAAAAAUCAUCCACUAACAUAUAUUAUGAUAGUAUAUAACUUUACCAGUAAUUCCUGCAGCAACGCGCGGGGCAUUCUCCUAGUUACAAUAAUGAGAGUUUUGUGUGAAAGGCUGCCCUGUAAAUUUAGAGAUUCAUUUCCAAUUUUUGUUGGAGCUAGAUUUUAAUCUAUAUAACUGUUUAUCUGGGUUUACGGAAGGUUUUAGAUAAGAAAAAAGUCUACAUAACCUCCUAAACUAUUUUUUGUGGUGGAAUACUUCAUCCCUAAACUAUAAAACCAGAUAUCCUACCUCCUAAACUUUCAAAACCGGUAAAAUAACACCCUAGAGUGGUUUUAGAGGGUGGUUUUGUCUUUUUAUUUUUUAUUUAUUUCAGCUUAAUAAUGUAAAAAUCAUAAUAAAUCAUAGAAAAAUUAUAAAAUGAAAAUUCAAAUUUGUUGGACUCCUGAUGAGUAGAUCUACACAAUGAAUAUAUAAUAUGGUAUACUUUAUUACAAAGUUUUUGUUGUAACUUUAAAUCUAUGUUUUUCUAUAAUUAAUAAGAAUAAUUUAUAUAUGUAGUUCCUAUGGUUCAAUUGUGAUAAAAUUCUUAUGCUGGGCUCAUUAUUGUAUUCUUGAACUAUGGUAAAAGUUCCGUACCUAUUGCAUCACAUAUAACUUAGUUAUAGAUUUAUUUAGCUUUAUUCUUAUUAAAUCUAUGAUUUAUCUAUAACUAAGUUAUACAUGAUUCAAUGAGUAUGGAAUUUUUACCAUAGUGCAAUCAUACAAUAAUAAGCCCACCAUAAAAAUUUUACCACAAUUAGACCAUAGGAACUACAUAUAUGAAUUAUUUGAAUUAAUUAUAGAAAACAUAUAUUUAAAGAUACAGCAAAAACUUUGUACCAAAGUAUACCAUAUUAUAUAUUCACUGUGUAGACCUACUCAUCAGAAGUCCAAUAAAAUUGAGUUUUUAUUUUAUAAUUUUUCUAUAAUUUAUUAUAAUUUUUUAAAUAUUCAGCGAAAAUAAAUAAAUAAAAAAGAUAAAACCACCCUUAAAAUCACUCGAGAGGGUUAUUUGACCGGUUUUGAAAGUUUAGGGGAUAAAAUAUAAUAUCCGAUUUUAUAGUUUGGGGAUGAAGUAUUUCAUCCUAUAUAAUUUGGGGUUAUGUAUCUUUUUUUCCUCGUAGAUAUGUUUACUUCCAGUUAAAACCCAAAAUUUUUCAAGAUUUCCCAUCACAUCCGGUCUUUAGAGGCAUGCAUGAAGUAUUAAAUAUAGACAAAAAUAAAAACUAAUUCAUAGUUUGAUCGGAAUUUAUGAUACAAAUCUUUUGAACCUAGUUAGUCCAUAGUUGGACAAUAAUUACCAUAAACAAACGAAAAUGCUACGAUGUUGUGAAUUUUUUUUUUGUUUGUGAACUAAACACGGAGAAAUCCGGAAUGCGAGCCUCAAAACCAGCAUCAGCUUUCCAAAUUCCCACUCCGGAUACCAAACGACGUUUUGGUUUGCAAAUUAUAUAGGCUCCAGUACCGCAGUAUGUGCACCUAUAAAUCGGCCAGUGCUCAGUCUAGCGAACGGCCGGAUCGGAACCCCUUCGCUUUCUCCCCUGCUUCUCUCAAACGAAAUGGCAGCCGGAUCUUCCAGUUCCAGCACCGCCCUCGUCGGCAUCGUUGACGACUUCUACUUCUCCGUCCUCGCUCACGGGCGAAACGACGCUGGCGCCGCCGGGGACGACGAGCUCUUCCCGAUAUCCGACGAGAAGUACGCCACGGAGCUCCAGCUACAGGAGGUGAUGAUGUCCUCCGCCAUCGCGGCCACGGCGCGCUCCCGGGUCGCUCCACCUCGCAGCAGCACAGCUGCCACUAGCGACAACGCCGCCGCCGCCGCCGCGUCGGGUCACGGCAAAGGUAAGUGCGCCUACACCUCGUCGUCGUCGUCGUCGUCCCGGCCGUCCAUCGCCGUCGCCGCGACGCUCGUGUUCUGCAAGAUCUGCAUGGACGUGGUGCCGCCCUCCGACGCGCACCGCGCCAGCCGGGGCUGCGCACACGCCUUCUGCGGCGGCUGCCUCGCGGGCUACGUGGGCGCCAAGAUCCAGGACAGGAUCGCCGACGUCAGGUGCCCCGAGGAGCGGUGCGGCGGCGUGCUGGACCCGGAGCUCUGCCAGGGCAUCCUGCCCCGCGAGGUCUUCGAGCGGUGGGGCGCCGCGCUGUGCGAGUCCAUGCUGCUGGGGGCCAAGAGGACCUACUGCCCCUUCAAGGAUUGCUCGGCGAUGAUGCUGGCGGACGACGACGGCAGCGACGACGUCGCCGAGGCGGAGUGCCCGAGCUGCAGGCGGCUCUUCUGUGCGAGGUGCAACGUGGCGCCGUGGCACGCCGGCGCUACCUGCACCGAGUACAGGAAGCUCCGGAAGGGGGACAGGGGCAUCGAGGACACCAUGCUGCUUGAGAUGGCCAAGGGGGAGAAGUGGAAGCGGUGCCCCAAGUGCGAGUUCUUCGUGGAGAAGCGUGAUGGUUGCCUUCACAUUACUUGCAGGUACUCCGUACGUUCCAUCUCAUCAUUCAUCAAUAUGGGAGCAGUACCACUGUUUCUUCACGGAUUCACAUGUGCACUGCAGUCAAACUGACUCUGAAGUGCACGUAGUAUUGCUUUUUCCCUUUUUUUUAUUCAGGACUUGUUAAAUAAGGUCACGUUAAAUUCAUCCAAAAACAAAAAACUUUUCAAUAUUUUUUUCGUCACAUUAAAUCUUCUGCCACAUACAUAAAACAUUAAAUAUAGAUAAAAAUAAAAACUAAUUAUACAAUUUGUUUGUAAACCGUAAGACGAAUUUUUUAAACAUAAUUACUUUAUAAUUGGAUAAUGUUUGUCAAAUAAAAACGAAAGUACUAUCAAAAUUAAAAAAGAAAAUUAGACCUAAACAAGGCCUAAAACGAAGAACGGUUUGUUAAAGUAUGGUAGAUUUUUAUUUAAUUUAAUAAUUAGUGUCUAAUUAUAAACUAAUUAAGUUUAAAAAAUUAAAAUUCAUCUCACAAAUUACUCUCUAGCUAUGUUUUUAAUUUUAUAAAUGUCUAUAUUUAGUAUUAUAUAUAUAUUCCUUCCGUCUUAAAAUGACCAAUGUUUUUUACUUUGACCAAUAAUGUUUGUUCGUUUUGUUCAAUUUUUUAUGUAAAUUUUAAAAUAAAUAAAUCAUUAUUAAAGUAAUUCUAAUAAUUAAAUAAGUCAUAUCAAAAUAAAUAAUAUUUAUAUAAAAGGUUAUAAUAAAAUUGGAUAGUCAAAUAAAACGUCAACAACGUUAUUUUAGGCUUUGUUUAGAUGCGAAAAGUUUUUAGAUUUCGUUAAUGUAGCACUUUCGUUUGUUUAUGAUAAAUAUUGUCUAAUCAUAAACUAAUUAGGAUAAAAGAGUUUAUCUCGUGAUUUACAGGUAAACUGUGAUUUACAGGUAAACUGUGUACUGUAAGAUUUAAUGUGACGAGAAACCUUGAAAACUUUUUAGUUUUUAGAUGAACUAAACAAGCCUUAGACGAAGAGAAGUACUAUGUCCAAACACGAUGCGACGGAUAGUAAUCUUUACCGUCAGUAACAAUACUGUAGAACCUAGUCAUCAAUAUGGGAGCAGUAGCACUGUUUUUUUCACGGAUUCAAAUGUGCACUCCAGUCGAACGGAUUCGUUUUUUUUUACGAAGUGCACUACAACUGCAGUGCAAGAACUAUUAAGGCCUUGUUUAGUUCCCAGAAAAUUCAAAAUUUUUUCAGAUUCUCCGUCACAUUGAAUCUUUAGACGCUUGUAUGGAGUAUUAAAUAUAGCCGAAAAUAAAAACUAAUUACACAGUUUGGUCGAAAUUGACGAGACGAAUCUUUUGACCGUAGUUAGUCUAUGAUUGGACAAUAUUUGUCAAAUACAAACGAAAACGUCAUUAUUCAUAUUUUGCAAAAAAAAUUGGAAGUAAACAAGGCCUAAAGGCCUUUUUAAAGAAGAAGGCCUUGCUUUGUUCCAUUUUUUUUUUUGCAAAAUGAAUCUAUAAUACUUUCGUGUAUUUAACAAAUAUUGUAUAAUUAUAGUCGAAUUAGACUCAAAAAAUUCGUCUCUCAAAUUACAGGCAAACUGUACAAUUAAUUAUUAUUUUUAUCUAUAUUUAAUGCUCCAUGCAUUCAUCACAAGAUUUAAUAUGACAAAAAAUCUGAUUUUUUUUGCAAAACUUUCUGGGAACAAAACAAUGCCCAAGAUGAAGAAGAUGAGAAUUAAGGUCUUAUUGUGCAUGAUUUUAUGGUAGCUUCUCCAGCAGUUAAAUCAAAAAUUCAACUUGAAAACGACUUUAGAAACCAAAAUCAAGACAAAAAUGCAUAGGCCGAAGUCAAUUUUGGCAAGAAGCUGAAACCAUAAAAAUGUAGUUUCUCCGUACUUUAUGAUUUUUGGACAAGCCCAAAUUAAUCCUACUAGAGAGACUCUGGGUGGUCUCGUUAAUAAAAAACAAUAUACACUUAAAUUCAAAUACUUUAAAACUCAACUUCCGUCAGUCGUCGGAUUGAGCUAUAUAUAUGAUCGUUUCUUGUCGAGAUUUUUUUGGAGCAUUGUAAUUUCCUCGUAUCAUUUCCUUCGCUUGAAAAUAUUUUUUUGUACAAAAAAUUGAUGGUAUCGCGAUUUUGCAGGUGUGGCUUUCAGUUUUGCUAUGGAUGUGGCAAGAGGUGGGGGAUUACUCAUUCUCGUUGCACUACAGCGUGAGAUCCGAUGGAUGCUAUCUCGGAUCUAAGUAUAAGGCCAUUGUCAAUAUAGGUUUCUUGUUCUAGUUUUCAAGACUUAUGUAUUGAAAUGUUAAUUAGUUUUAAUCCUAUAAAACUCAUUUUAUUUUCAUGAAACUUUUGACCAUCUCUCUUUAUUAGUAUUAAUGUCUCUCUUUAUUAAUAUUAUGUCAUGUCAUAUUUACUAAGUUGAUAACUUAUCUAAUGUCUAUAGAACUCGUAAAAUCACCGCGAGACUAGCCUCAAAACAAAAAAAAAAGAAUAGUGUUUUUCAAUUUAUUAACUGAUUGUAACUGGAACUAAAUGCCAUAUCCCAACUAGUGUUAUCAUAUCAGAAAAUACUGCUGACUGAUUUGUUAUGAGAGAAAAAUACUAUUAAAUAGCUGACAUAUUUGACUGAUAAGCUCAAGCGAACAAAAUACUGCUAACUGAUUUGUUAUGAGAGAAAAAUACUAUUAAAUAGCUGACAGAUUUGACUGAUAAGCUCAAGCGAACAAGGCGAUGUAGUGAGAGAAGACUGCAAUUCCGUCAGCCGCUCGGGCUAUCAAUCGGCAACGGAUUUUAGUAAUAGCUUAGGUUUUCUCGUUGAAGUUUUUGGGCAUGGAUACUACACUACUCCCUCCUGAUUUCCCAGAUGGUGUCACUAUUAGACUCGAUUCCUCCAGCGGAUUGGGACUAUAAGGAAUGUUUUAUUCUGCUUGUAUGUGUUUGGGCUACUGUCUUACUUUUAACCCUGUUGGAUUUUGGAUGUUGGGGUUAUUGUUGGGUACGUCAUCGACAUCAAAAUCUUUCUCCUAAGUGGUGUUUUUUUUUACAUUCCAGUCCUAACUUCCUGCGGUUUGGGUUUUUCUUUCUCUGACUAGCUAGGUGCGCCGGAUUUAUGGAAUCGAUCAAUCUCUUCUAUUUAAACCUACGUACUGUUGCAAUUGAUUUUCUCCUCUUUGUAAUAUGGCAGCACUAUGUGGAAACAAAAAAAAAA
RNAcentral lists this long non-coding RNA (26693 nucleotides) under Sorghum bicolor (sorghum). Its description in RNAcentral is "long non-coding RNA (SBIC_LNC013232)". Lineage: Eukaryota; Viridiplantae; Streptophyta; Magnoliopsida; Poales; Poaceae. The record is from RNAcentral.